This 468-nucleotide long non-coding RNA is filed under the name Physcomitrium patens. RNAcentral's name for it is "long non-coding RNA (PPAT_LNC014256)". The record is from RNAcentral. Lineage: Eukaryota; Viridiplantae; Streptophyta; Bryopsida; Funariales; Funariaceae.
GGGAAAGACUAAGUCAUGAGUUUUACUUGUUAGGGUCACACAAUUGACCAUAUUCCAAACCACUGAAACACUGAGAAACACUACAAUACUUUUUCCUAGUAACAAUACUCUUUUAUCAACUAAUAACAACAAUAUGUAAUCCUGCACUCUCAAAAGACUACUCAAAAUACAUAAUUUCUUUCCAACACCAGGAAUAAUAGACUUCACUCCAACAAUCUGAAUUCACAUAUUUUUUGUAAUCACAGACUUUUUCUAUCGAAACACAUACACAGCUCUCAAUAAACAACAAUCAUAAUCUUCCAAUAACUCCUCAUAUAUUUCAAUCACUCAGUACUCCAAUUACAUAAUCAAUAACUCAUAAAUCAAUCUCUGAUUUAUUUCACAAACUCACUUCUCAGUAUUCAGAAACUAUCCAUUACCCUUCAACAACAAAGAAACAAAGAGACAAAGAGGUAGCACCAAGCUUAU